CUACUUAAUCUUAGUUGAUUUUGAAAAUCUGAGUCAGACUUGAUUUGUAUUUGGAUGGGAGGCCACCUGGAAAUCCUAAGACUUUAACUAGA
This 92-nucleotide ribosomal RNA is filed under the name Salvator merianae (Argentine black and white tegu). Lineage: Eukaryota; Metazoa; Chordata; Lepidosauria; Squamata; Teiidae. The record is from RNAcentral.